AAAAGGUCUCCCUUUUUCCUAUUUAGACCCUGCAAGCUUUGAAAAAUGUAGAUGAGCGGUUGUGACACAUACUCUCUCUCUCCACGGCUAUAUCCCUCCGCAUCCUUCCCCAAUCGGCCUGCCCAAUUUGGAGAAGGCCAGCAAUUCCUGGGGAUGAGCUCUUCCGUUUAGAGGGGAAGAAGGGUGGGGGGCAGAAGAGAUCUUCAUGAGCGGUGUUGUGUAGUGAGUUCCGAUCCCAUAUCUUCUAGCCUGUUUGUUGGAUAAAUGUAGGGCUUUGUAUUUUACAGGUAUUUUCAUCCGCUUUUUUAGGUUUAUAGCGACCCGCCCCCCCCUUCCUGUAGGCCUAUAAAUCUGCACGUUCGGCUCUACACUUCGUCUCUCUCAUCUGGUUCCUUUCUCCCCCUCUCUCCGCCCCCUUCUCCUGCACAUCUAUUCUUCCUUAAACUGUCAUCCAUCCUCCCCGUCUUCUCAUCCUCUCUCUCUCUCUCUCUUUCUCUCUCUCUCGCGAUGUCGGGCUCCGAUUGCAGGUCAGUGCGGAGAAGUCCGAAUAGGUGCCUCUCUGAGACGAGCGGGAGGGGAGCAAGACGAGUUCUUGUGAGACGAAAGGUGACAUGGGUUGUGCCUGGCUCCCUGUAUGCCACACGUAUGGAUCAAUCUCUGAAAGAUUGGCUACUGCGGGUGGCGUGCGAGGAGCCAAGCAUACCCUCUAUUCCUUCCCCUUCCCUCUAACAUACAGGGCGGAGCCAAGCAGUCCCUCCUCUCUCUCUCUCUCUCUCUCUCUCUCUCUCUCUCUCUCUCUCUCUCUCUNNNNNNNNNNNNNNNNNNNNNNNNNNNNNNNNNNNNNNNNNNNNNNNNNNNNNNNNNNNNNNNNNNNNNNNNNNNNNNNNNNNNNNNNNNNNNNNNNNNNNNNNNNNNNNNNNNNNNNNNCCUCCUCUCUCUCUCUCUCUCUCUCUCUCUCUUUCUAUCUCUCUCUCCUGUCUUGAGAGUAAAAUUGCAUCUCAUCUUCCUGGUUUGUUCUCCCUCUUUUAGCGAUAUAGUUGGUUUCCCCACCUACCGUCCAAAAGCACCGAGUAUCUUACCUAUCGGCCCAUCCAUCUACACUAUUUUUCCUCUCUAUUUCUGGUUCUGUAUCUGCUUAUUUUUCAUUGUCGUGCAUCCUUCUUUGAUAUUAAACCCAUAUACAAGCCGGCAACAGGCAGAGAAUCUUACACGGAUUUAGCUUCGGAGUCAGGCACUGUCAUAUCUGUGCUCAUCUCCGAACAGGGAAACCACUGCGCUGGCCGCGUGGCGCGUGGACCUUCUCCUAUAUCAUCUGCUGCCGUCUAAACCUAGCCCACCCUUGUUUCCAGCAGCUCCUCCACUGGGCAAGGCCUUCCGCUACACCACCCCUGUCAAAGUUGCGGACAGGAUGGAACGAAGACGUCACUCGACCGUAUCAUUCCACUGUUUCCUUCUGCCCGUGACGUAAUGAUAUAAUUUUGUACUUAUCUUUUUCAACCUGUUAUUCUAUGCAUGCUAAUGCAUCGUUCAUUUUCUAUCCGUUUCUUCUCCGCAGUAGAUGUAUAAAACUCCCCGCAGACGUUUGUUGCUUACUGUAAUCCAGCAUGGGGGAUUCACCCCCAUUUUUGUUAAACCUUGAAGAUAAUAGGAAUCUGAUGAGAUCUUCUAUCGUGCGGUCGAUUGUGGCCCGCUUUGUACCGGCACUCUGUGCUCUCUUGAUCUCUCGCUUUUUCCUUCAGUCCAAUUUCUAUAUGAUCAUCACAAGUGAACUGUAUUCUCACUCUCGAUGUUCUGGUGAAUGCAGCAAGAAUGCGCGAGGAACACUCGAUUUAUGGUGCCGAAGAUGGAAUACAGCCCCUUUAAGUCGUCCUAUUCAUUUGAAUUCAUCACAACAAGUACUGAUGUAUCUAAGCUCUUGAAAUGACUACCGAUUCAGGCGAGUAUACCGUCGGAUCUAUUUUCCCGCGGGUAUUUAGACAAUCGGUUUGCUCUGAAAACGUCUUCCGUGAUCGCUAUCCAUUUUUGGCCAAUAUUUCUUAAGUGACAAAAUCGGAUGGCAUCUGUUACAUGCAAAUGCUAUUGCUCAAGACUUUUAUACAUCAUUCUGCUCCUCGAGCGCUCAAGAGUUUGGGAAAGCAGCCUCCAUUGACCCUUCUGUAGCUGCUUUUUGCUGGGUUUUUUUUACCCCGUGUAUGAAAGUGAGAGUGUAACCAAGCCUGCAGAGAGCAUCGAAGCAGGUCACGGCUGAGGGACGUGGUGCAGGCAUCCCCUCAGGGCUCGCAGGAGUCACUUUAGAACUGUGAAGCUUCGCUACUCGUCCGUCGAUCUCCCAUAUCCGAUUGACCACACCUGCAUCAGCUUGCAGCCCCACAGCUCUCCGUACUAUUUCUCUCGUCGGAACAUGGUGAAUCGUGAACACAAUCGAGAACUCAGCGAGUUCUCUCUCCACGGUCCCUUUCUCUCUCUUUCUCCGUCCCCCAUGUUGUAAUAUUCGGUGUGCAUGCUAACUUUUGUUUUGCUCCCGGUAAUGGAGCCACGGGCAGGUUUUUCCUUCAGGGAAUCGGCUUUCCAUUUUUCCGAGAACUGAGCAUGGCGUCCUUUACAAAGGAACUUUCAAAGGGAUGGCGGGAUGACGGAGGGGAGAGAGAGAGAGAGGGCCCUUCUUCCACAGUCGAAAGGGUACAGACCGCAGGCGGGUGGGUGUGAAUGGUGGGUGCAAGGAGCAGUGAGAAAAUUUGUCCUCUGUAAAGGGUUAACUCCGUCCUUCCAGCUCCAUGCGUGGAAACUCUACUCUGGAUAUGUGAGCUGGUCGAUUGCCAGAUCGUUACUGCGCCCUACUAAUGCCAAGAAGGCCC
This 2855-nucleotide long non-coding RNA is filed under the name Spirodela polyrhiza (greater duckweed). RNAcentral describes it as "long non-coding RNA (SPOL_LNC002009)". The stretch from base 617 to 703 matches the Rfam family "mir-160 microRNA precursor family". Lineage: Eukaryota; Viridiplantae; Streptophyta; Magnoliopsida; Alismatales; Araceae. The record is from RNAcentral.